RNAcentral lists this long non-coding RNA (207 nucleotides) under Daucus carota (carrot). Its description in RNAcentral is "long non-coding RNA (DCAR_LNC001102)". The record is from RNAcentral. Lineage: Eukaryota; Viridiplantae; Streptophyta; Magnoliopsida; Apiales; Apiaceae.
ACUAAUUCUUUAGCCAAGAAGAAUUUUCAUAAUUACAACAUGAGCAAUAUAAAAAUACAUAUGUCAUGUGUGUUGCUUCGAUAGAUUACAACUGGUAUAGAGUAAGAAUACUAUUAUCGUUAUCAACAAAUUCGAACAUUUUAAGGGUCUUGUCAAUGAAGAAAAGAUAAAAAUAACUAACUCCAGCCUUUAUAUAUAUAUAUAUAU